This 382-nucleotide ribosomal RNA is filed under the name uncultured organism. RNAcentral describes it as "partial 16S ribosomal RNA". It matches the Rfam family "Bacterial small subunit ribosomal RNA", at positions 527 to 896 of the family's 1533-position model. The record is from RNAcentral.
GUAGGUGGCAAGCGUUGUCCGGAAUUAUUGGGCGUAAAGCGCGCGCAGGCGGUUCUUUAAGUCUGAUGUGAAAGCCCACGGGCUCAACCGUGGAGGGUCAUUGGAAACUGGAGAACUUGAGUACAGAAGAGGAAAGCGGAAUUCCACGUGUAGCGGUGAAAUGCGUAGAGAUGUGGAGGAACACCAGUGGCGAAGGCGGUCUUUCUGGUCUGUAACUGACGCUGAGGCGACGAAAGCGGUGGGGAGACAAACGAGGUAUUAGACUACCCUGGUACGUCCACGACCGUAAACGAUGAGUGACUAAGUGUUAGGGGUUUCCGCCCCUUAGUGCUGCAGCUAACGCAUUAAGCACUCCGCCUGGGGAGUACGGCCGCAAAGGCUG